CUUAUACUCCUUCCAUCUGAAAAUACUUGUCAUAGCAAUGGAUGUAUCUAGAUGUAUUUUAGUUUUAGAUAUAUCCAUUUUUAUUCAUUUGUGUGACAAGUAAUUUCAGACGGAGGAAGUAUUUA
Molecule: microRNA precursor, 125 nt
Filed under: Hordeum vulgare
Lineage: Eukaryota; Viridiplantae; Streptophyta; Magnoliopsida; Poales; Poaceae
Description: microRNA MIR1122
Rfam family: MIR1120/MIR1122 microRNA precursor family
Source: RNAcentral